CGCGUAGGCGGCUUUGCAAGUUGGGCGUGAAAGCCCUGGGCUUAACCCAGGAAUUGCGCUUGAGACUGCUUGGCUUGAGUGCGGGAGAGGUGAGUGGAAUUCCCAGUGUAGAGGUGAAAUUCGUAGAUAUUGGGAAGAACACCAGUGGCGAAGGCGGCUCACUGGCCCGCAACUGACGCUGAGGCGCGAAAGCGUGGGGAGCAAACAGGAUUAGAUACCCUGGUAGUCCACGCUGUAAACGAUGGGUGCUAGACGUCGGGGGACUCAGUUCCGCGGUGUCGCAGCUAACGCAUGAAGCACCCCGCCUGGGGAGUACGGCCGCAAGGUUAAA
This 331-nucleotide ribosomal RNA is filed under the name uncultured bacterium. RNAcentral's name for it is "bacterial SSU rRNA". It matches the Rfam family "Bacterial small subunit ribosomal RNA", at positions 568 to 898 of the family's 1533-position model. The record is from RNAcentral.